GGUUCCAUAGUGUAGCAGUUAGCACGUCUGCUUUACAUGUAGAAUGCCCUGGGUCCACGUCCCAGUGGAGCCA
Molecule: transfer RNA, 73 nt
Filed under: Pteropus alecto (black flying fox)
Lineage: Eukaryota; Metazoa; Chordata; Mammalia; Chiroptera; Pteropodidae
Rfam family: tRNA
About the family: Transfer RNA (tRNA) molecules are approximately 80 nucleotides in length. Their secondary structure includes four short double-helical elements and three loops (D, anti-codon, and T loops). Further hydrogen bonds mediate the characteristic L-shaped molecular structure. tRNAs have two regions of fundamental functional importance: the anti-codon, which is responsible for specific mRNA codon recognition, and the 3' end, to which the tRNAs corresponding amino acid is attached (by aminoacyl-tRNA synthetases). tRNAs cope with the degeneracy of the genetic code in two manners: having more than one tRNA (with a specific anti-codon) for a particular amino acid; and 'wobble' base-pairing, i.e. permitting non-standard base-pairing at the 3rd anti-codon position.
Source: Rfam by way of RNAcentral